CUGAGAAACUGCCCUUUGGGUAGAUCUCCCACCCUUUGUUUACAUUACCUUUGUUGCUUUGGCAGGCCCGUCUUUGGACCACCGGCUUAGGCUGGUCUGUGCCUGCCAGAGGAUCUUAAACUCUUGAUUUUUGUAUUGUCCGAGUAAAAUUAUAAUUUUUA
RNAcentral lists this unclassified non-coding RNA (161 nucleotides) under uncultured Helotiales. RNAcentral's name for it is "sequence contains ITS1". Lineage: Eukaryota; Fungi; Ascomycota; Leotiomycetes; Helotiales. The record is from RNAcentral.